RNAcentral lists this unclassified non-coding RNA (358 nucleotides) under soil metagenome. RNAcentral's name for it is "partial contains 5.8S ribosomal RNA, internal transcribed spacer 2, and large subunit ribosomal RNA". The stretch from base 1 to 120 matches the Rfam family "5.8S ribosomal RNA", at positions 35 to 154 of the family's 154-position model. The record is from RNAcentral.
GAUGAAGAACGUAGCGAAAUGCGAUAAGUAAUGUGAAUUGCAGAAUUCAGUGAAUCAUCGAAUCUUUGAACGCACAUUGCGCCCGUCAGUAUUCUGGCGGGCAUGCCUGUUCGAGCGUCAUUACGCCCCUCAAGUCCCCUGUGGACUUGGUGUUGGGGAUCGGCGAGGCUGGUUUUCCAGCACAGCCGUCCCUUAAAUUAAUUGGCGGUCUCGCCGUGGCCCUCCUCUGCGCAGUAGUAAAACACUCGCAACAGGAGCCCGGCGCGGUCCACUGCGGUAAAACCCCCCAACUUUUUAUAGUUGACCUCGAAUCAGGUAGGACUACCCGCUGAACUUAAGCAUAUCAAUAAGCGGAGGA